Non-coding RNA from Pelobates cultripes (western spadefoot toad), 777 nucleotides. Lineage: Eukaryota; Metazoa; Chordata; Amphibia; Anura; Pelobatidae. The record is from the annotation of a GenBank genome assembly.
CCAUGACAGGGGCGGGGAAGGAAAUGAUGGCAGGGAGGAAGUGAGGUGACGUCCAUGAUAUGUGUGGGAAAGGAAGACAGGAGGUAAGGGCGGAAGUGACGUCACUUUAGAAGCAACCGUGACUGUAGAUAGGUCACGGGACUGGCAGAGCCAACCUCCUUCUGUACUAGGCGCCAUCUUUAGGGAGGUGGCUGACAUACUUUGAAGAAAACACUAUAUUACAACUAAUAAAAUAAGUCAGUUCCGAGAUUUAAAUACUAAACUAUAAAUAAACCUGACAGGUUAAAUAAGACAGUUGAGAACAUUAUGCAUUUAACAGCCCAUACAGCUGUCUCUAGAAACAUGUACUUUAAAAUAACAUGAUGCAAAAUAAACUCACGAAAUUCAACCAAUUUCCCUUAUGCUGAAUAGCUCUUGCUACUCGGUACCAGGCUUCUGCUGUACGAACCAAAUCGUGGUCCGACAGCUUCCCUUUCUUCUCUGUCAGUAACUUACGCCAGCUCUCUGGCUGCAAUCUGCCGCAUGGAGGUACGGUAAUUCCACAUACUUUAGCAAUUUUCCUCACUUUCUUAACCAUCUCUUCUCCUUCUCUGUCUUCCACGAGAUCACAUGCUAACCAACCCUUACUGGGUUUAUCUAACUUCUGUCCCAUCCUCCCUAUAUAAGGCAUCCCAGAUAUAGAGAAAGAGAGAAAAGAAGGUCUACAGUGCUCGACUGCUACGUAAGAGUGGGUUCCUACGUACGUCUUCCCAAAACGUAGACUAGUCACUAAUUCCG